UUUAAAUUGAAGAAAUUUAUCUUUAUGAAAAAGACAUAUCAUUUUCCGAUCUAGUCUGGUUGUUUUGAUAUCUGCCAUCUGAACUUUAAAAACAACAACAGAAAAAAAACUUACAGAUAAUUUUUUAAGAGAGGGAUCUUGGAGGCUUUGUGCAAUUAUUUUCCUAUGAAUGUUGAUCAAGCACUGUGUGAUCUUUGAGUUCAUUUUCAGUCCUGUUUUCCUGCCAUACCCAAUCAUGUUCCCAUCAUCUAGAAAUGCACGGACUUAAGCAGUGAGAGUCCCUGCCCCUCCAGGCCUUUCUGUUGCUGUAAAAUAUCAAAAGAUUUAAUAUGAACAUAGAUCAAAAAUUGUUUUCUUGUUUUGUUCCUCUAAAAUACCAGUUCCUUUUACCUCCUGAAAUCCCAGCUGAAUUAAAGUCUUCAUUAAAUUCAUGAAAGGAUACAAGAGUUACAGCCUGGCCUCUUUUAACAUCGCUCUCCUGGAAUUGAAUGGAAAGUCAGCUUCUAGUUCUGUGGAAGGCAGGUCCCAGGGGAGGUGAGCAGCUUCUAAUUUUCAGGGAGCAAAGAGGAGCAAAAUCAGCUCUAUUUAAGACCUACUGAUACGUGGGAAUUUAAGGACUUUCAUUUACAUUUUUUUAAUUUCUUCAUAUAUUUUCAGAAAUUGUAUCUUAGUGUAAUAAACAACCAAAAAGCAACAAAUAAGGAAAUUUUUAACCCCUCAUAUGCAAUAUUG
RNAcentral lists this long non-coding RNA (732 nucleotides) under Pan troglodytes (chimpanzee). Its description in RNAcentral is "long non-coding RNA NONPTRT014050". Lineage: Eukaryota; Metazoa; Chordata; Mammalia; Primates; Hominidae. The record is from RNAcentral.